RNAcentral lists this ribosomal RNA (523 nucleotides) under uncultured bacterium. Its description in RNAcentral is "bacterial SSU rRNA". It matches the Rfam family "Bacterial small subunit ribosomal RNA", at positions 1 to 523 of the family's 1533-position model. The record is from RNAcentral.
GGCAGAGUUUGAUCCUGGCUCAGAUUGAACGCUGGCGGCAUGCCUUACACAUGCAAGUCGAACGGCAGCACGGGAGCAAUCCUGGUGGCGAGUGGCGAACGGGUGAGUAAUGUAUCGGAACGUACCUUUCAGUGGGGGAUAACGUAGCGAAAGUUACGCUAAUACCGCAUAUUCUGUGAGCAGGAAAGCAGGGGAUCGCAAGACCUUGCGCUGAUUGAGCGGCCGAUAUCAGAUUAGCUAGUUGGUGAGGUAAAGGCUCACCAAGGCGACGAUCUGUAGCGGGUCUGAGAGGAUGAUCCGCCACACUGGAACUGAGACACGGUCCAGACUCCUACGGGAGGCAGCAGUGGGGAAUUUUGGACAAUGGGCGCAAGCCUGAUCCAGCCAUGCCGCGUGAGUGAAGAAGGCCUUCGGGUUGUAAAGCUCUUUCAGCCGGGAAGAAAACGCAUGGGUUAAUACCCUGUGUGGAUGACGGUACCGGAAUAAGAAGCACCGGCUAACUACGUGCCAGCAGCCGCGGUAA